RNAcentral lists this ribosomal RNA (433 nucleotides) under uncultured bacterium. RNAcentral describes it as "partial 16S ribosomal RNA". It matches the Rfam family "Bacterial small subunit ribosomal RNA", at positions 29 to 507 of the family's 1533-position model. The record is from RNAcentral.
AACGAACGCUGGCGGCAUGCCUAACACAUGCAAGUCGAACGAGACCUUCGGGUCUAGUGGCGCACGGGUGCGUAACGCGUGGGAACCUGCCCUUAGGUUCGGAAUAACUCCCCGAAAGGGGUGCUAAUACCGGAUAAUGUCUUCGGACCAACGAUUUAUCGCCUUUGGAUGGGCCCGCGUUGGAUUAGCUGGUUGGUAGGGUAAAAGCCUACCAAGGCGACGAUCCAUAGCUGGUCUGAGAGGAUGAUCAGCCACACUGGGACUGAGACACGGCCCAGACUCCUACGGAAGGCAGCAGUGGGGAAUAUUGGACGAUGGGCGAAGGCCUGAUCCAGCAAUGCCGCGUGAGUGAUGAAGGCCUUAGGGUUGUAAAGCUCUUUUACCCGGGAUGAUAAUGACAGUACCGGGAGAAUAAGCUCCGGCUAACUCCGUG